GGGGAAUAUUGGACAAUGGGCGAAAGCCUGAUCCAGCAAUGCCGCGUGAGUGAUGAAGGCCUUAGGGUUGUAAAGCUCUUUUAGUAGGGAAGAUAAUGACGGUACCUACAGAAAAAGCCCCGGCUAACUCCGUGCCAGCAGCCGCGGUAAGACGGAGGGGGCUAGCGUUGUUCGGAAUUACUGGGCGUAAAGAGCGCGUAGGCGGUUUAGUGUGUUGGGAGUGAAAGCCCGGGGCUUAACCUCGGAAUGGCUUCCAAAACUGCUAAGCUAGAGUAUGGUAGGGGAUGGUGGAAUUCCUAGUGUAGAGGUGAAAUUCUUAGAUAUUAGGAGGAACACCGGAGGCGAAGGCGACCAUCUGGGCCAUAACUGACGCUAAUGCGCGAAAGCGUGGGGAGCAAAC
Molecule: ribosomal RNA, 400 nt
Filed under: uncultured bacterium
Lineage: Bacteria
Description: bacterial SSU rRNA
Rfam family: Bacterial small subunit ribosomal RNA
Source: RNAcentral